GACUAUCGCUGCGCGGCCGGGUCCUGUGCCCGUCGCACUUCUCGCUGGAGCGCGUCAACAGCUGCUGAGCGUGGCCCACACGGUUCAGUGGAAGGUGAGCGACCAGCUCGCUGGUCGUUGUUAUAGCCGCUGGCACCCAGGUUGCGUUUGGCAGAGGGGAGCGGUGCAUGCUCUCCCUUUUUGCGGAGGGCUGGCGUCCUGUUCCGUUCAYGUAGCUGGCUUGGAUGCACUGCGUGCAGUACGUUCUCGCCGGUGAAAUGGCGUGCAGUCAACGCACACGAUGCACCAUGGUUGUUGGCGGCCAUAUGGCUUUAUCCGACCCGUCUUGAAACACGGACCAAGGAGUCUAACAUGUGCGCAAGUCCUGGGGUGACCGAAACCCAGAGGCGCAAUGAAAGUGAAGGCCACUCCGAGUGGCCGAGGUGAGAUCCUUGCUCUACGCGGGUGAGGCGCAUCAUCGACCGACCUAUUCUACUCUUAGGAAGGUUUGAGUAAGAGCGUACAUGCUG
This 509-nucleotide ribosomal RNA is filed under the name Aurelia cebimarensis. Its description in RNAcentral is "partial large subunit ribosomal RNA". The record is from RNAcentral. Lineage: Eukaryota; Metazoa; Cnidaria; Scyphozoa; Semaeostomeae; Ulmaridae.